RNAcentral lists this small RNA (1074 nucleotides) under Vigna angularis var. angularis. RNAcentral describes it as "Non-protein coding transcript". The record is from RNAcentral. Lineage: Eukaryota; Viridiplantae; Streptophyta; Magnoliopsida; Fabales; Fabaceae.
GUUCCAUUCUAAGACUUACAAUCACCAAAUAGUCAUUCAAUAUUUAUGAUCUAAUCCUCGCUUCCAUGAGCCGUAAUCUACCGCUAGGACUUUUAACAUAUGAUUUCUUAAUUACAGGUAUUUAUUUAUUUAUUUUAAAUAUACGGACGAAUAAUUUAAAUAUACGACCAAUAAAACAAUAACAUAUAAACUAUUAUAAAAAAGUUGUUAAAAAAAAAAUUUGUUAACACGUCGAACUCCUUCCCCGAAAAUCUCACCAAAGAAUUGGUUUGUUUGGAUGAUACAAACAUCUUUUCCUUCUUCAUAGUAUAACUUGUUUCGCUAUGUCGAUGUGAAAGCUUAUCUAAUUGCUCCUCGGCUUCAAAAUCUUGAUCACGAAUUCUUCUGACAUAACCUCCUGAAUUAUGGAAAGUGAUUUUAUGAUUGCUUCAUCUUCUUAUCAGCUUUCUGAUCAAGAAUUUCUCCUUAUCAGCUGCUGUGCGCUGCAGAGCCUCCAGCAUUUCAUCAACAGAAACAGUUGCAUGCCUAGACUUCAUUGAUUUCAUCUCAUCCAAUGCAGCUAGGAUGUCCAUCUCCCUUUUAGAAUCCAAGGUUCUAUUUUCCAAUGAUUUCAUAGCAUCUCCCAUCUCUUCAGCAUCCCUCUUCUGCUUAUUUUAUCAGCUUCUUUAUCUUCUGCACGCUAAUGUUCAAAAUUUCUGGUUGCACCGGAUUCGACAAUAUAAUCUGAAUUUUGUGGAUCGAUCUUCAUGAUGUAAUUGCCACAAGUAUUACAUCGAAUGCUCAUGGGAAGCAUCAUGCCAACCUUCAUCUGCUGGUUCUUGGGCCUUCAGCCUCUGGGAAGCUUGGAGGGAUCAAAGUCCGGAGGGUAAUACUUGUUCAAAACCUUCCUCUCUCCCAUCUUUCUAAAAAAGUGGAAGGAAGACCAGGUGAUGAGACGCUACCCCAAGCACGACGGCGAGGCACGGAGAUGGGCACGGUGACAGCCGGCGAGGCGAGGCUAGGCACGGCGAGAACGUGACGACGGAGAAAAUACGGUGGUAAGCGAGAAGAAACACAGAGUUCUGUAUUUAUAAC